This 507-nucleotide ribosomal RNA is filed under the name Desmognathus fuscus (dusky salamander). RNAcentral's name for it is "partial small subunit ribosomal RNA". The stretch from base 1 to 391 matches the Rfam family "Bacterial small subunit ribosomal RNA", at positions 952 to 1533 of the family's 1533-position model. Lineage: Eukaryota; Metazoa; Chordata; Amphibia; Caudata; Plethodontidae. The record is from RNAcentral.
CGACACCCCCCGAUAAACCUCACCAUUUCUCGCCACUACAGCCUAUAUACCACCGCCCUCAGUUCAUCUUUCAAAAGAAUAAUAAUGAACAAAAUGAUUAAAAAUAAAAAAGUCAGGUCAAGGUGUAGCAAAUGAANNNUGNGNAANANGNAANANGGGCUACAUUUUUUAUAAUAAAAAACACGGAAUAUUAUAUGAAAUAAAAUAUAAAGGAGGAUUUAGAAGUAAAAAGAAAAAAGAGUGUUCUUUUUAAAUUGGCAAUAGAGCACGCACACACCGCCCGUCACCCUUUUCAAAAUAUAUAAAAUUUAAAUAAAUAUAUAAACUUAUAAGAAAAGGUAAGUCGUAACAUGGUAAGUCUACCGGAAGGNGGCCUUGGAUAUCAAAAUAUAGCUUAAAUAAAGCACUUUGCNUACACCAAAAAAAUAUNUGCUAAGCCAAAUUAUUUUGAAUCUUAAAUCUAGCCUAAAUAUAUAUAUAUAUAUACUAAUCCCUAAUACACAAAAC